This 221-nucleotide long non-coding RNA is filed under the name Elaeis guineensis (African oil palm). Its description in RNAcentral is "long non-coding RNA (EGUI_LNC049077)". The record is from RNAcentral. Lineage: Eukaryota; Viridiplantae; Streptophyta; Magnoliopsida; Arecales; Arecaceae.
AGGGUCGACAGAUCCCAUCUUGGUGUACAUCUUAUUUUUACAAUGAAUCUACUGUAGCCAACAUACAUAACAAGAUUCUGAAUGGCUAGAUAAUCAAGUGAUUAUGCAAUCAAACUACAGUAACCCCACUGUGAACAGUCGAGGCACCUCAGAUCAAAGAACUAUCUACACCACUACAACUAUGAAUUAGUCAUUGAUGAGUGGGUAGCUAUCUUAGUGAC